CAGACGGGUGAGURACACGUGGGAAUCUACCCAUCUUUAGGGAAUAAYUCAGGGAAACUUGUGCUAAUACCCUAUACGUCCUCCGGGAGAAAGAUUUAUCGGAGAUGGACGAGCCCGCGUUGGAUUAGCUAGUUGGUGAGGUAAUGGCUCACCAAGGCGACGAUCCAUAGCUGGUCUGAGAGGAUGAUCAGCCACACUGGGACUGAGACACGGCCCAGACUCCUACGGGAGGCAGCAGUGGGGAAUAUUGGACAAUGGGCGCAAGCCUGAUCCAGCCAUGCCGCGUGUGUGAUGAAGGCCUUAGGGUUGUAAAGCACUUCACCGAUGAAGAUAAU
Molecule: ribosomal RNA, 335 nt
Filed under: uncultured Alphaproteobacteria bacterium
Lineage: Bacteria; Pseudomonadati; Pseudomonadota; Alphaproteobacteria
Description: bacterial SSU rRNA
Source: RNAcentral